This 1343-nucleotide long non-coding RNA is filed under the name Homo sapiens (human). RNAcentral describes it as "non-protein coding lnc-B4GALNT4-1:1". Lineage: Eukaryota; Metazoa; Chordata; Mammalia; Primates; Hominidae. The record is from RNAcentral.
UGCACAUACACACCCCACACACACGUACCAUGCACACACAUAUACACACACCACAUAUAUACAUGUCACACACAUACCAUGCACAUACAUACACACACCACACACAUACACACAUCACACACACACCAUGGACAUACACACACACCACACAAGCACCGUGCACACAAAUAUACACAAACCACAUACACACGUGACACACAUACACACAUGCAACAUGCACACACACCACAAACACAUGCACCAUGCACACACAUACACACCACAAACAUACAUACACACGCAUGCACCAUGCACACACAUAUACACACCACGCACAUACAUGCAUCAUGCACGGACACACCCCACACAUAUACACAUGCACCAUGCACAUACACACCACACACACACGCACCAUGCACACACAUAUACAGCCACCACAUACAUACAUAUGUCACACACACAUACACAGGCACAGUGCACAUACAUACACACCACACACAUACACACAGCACACACACAUACACACAUGCACCAUGCACAUACACACAUACACAUCACAACACACACACCACAAACACACCACACACAUCACACACAUACACAGCACACAUACAUACACACAUACACACACAUACCAUGCACACACAUAUACACACAUACCACACACACGGGCACCAUGAAUGUACACACACACCACAAACACACAUAUGUGCACCAUGCACAUACAUAUACACACACCACACACAAAGGCACCAUGUACAUACACACCACAAACAUACAUACACACACACACCAUACACAUACACACAACACACACAUACCACAAACACACAACAUGCACACAACACACACAUACACACCAUAAACACACACAAUGCACACACCACAAACACGCAUACAUACACACUUUUACACACACACACCAUACAUACACCCACACCACACACAACAUACACACACCACAAACACAUACACACACGCACACCACACAUAUACACCACACAUAUACACAUAUACCACACACACAUGCACCAUGCACACACAUACAGACAACAUACACAUACACAUCACAGAUAUGCACCAUGCUCACAAAUGCACAUACACACCACACAUACAACGUACACACAGGCACCACGCACAUACACACACACCAUGCAUACACACAUAUACCCACAUAUACACCACAUACACAUACACACACUAAACACAUACACAUGCACACACACGUACACAUACACACGUAUACACAUACACAUGCACACGCAUACACACACAAUGUAAAUAUGCCCGUGGACCCAGGGUCCAACUGAGUGAACUCCCACAAUUUGAGCAACACCUCAUUCUACAUCCUAACCCAAAGUGUG